UACGUAGGGUGCAAGCGUUGUCCGGAUUUAUUGGGUUUAAAGGGUGCGUAGGCGGCUAAUUAAGUCAGUGUUUAAAUUUUGCGGCUCAACCGUAAGUCUGGCAUUGAUACUGAAUAGCUUGAGUAUAAUAUAGGCAGGCGGAAUUGAUAGUGUAGCGGUGAAAUGCAUAGAUAUUAUCAAGAACUCCGAUAGCGAAGGCAGCUUGCUGAGUUAUAACUGACGCUGAGGCACGAAAGUGUGGGGAUCAAACAGG
This 253-nucleotide ribosomal RNA is filed under the name uncultured bacterium. RNAcentral's name for it is "partial 16S ribosomal RNA". It matches the Rfam family "Bacterial small subunit ribosomal RNA", at positions 524 to 776 of the family's 1533-position model. The record is from RNAcentral.